CUUGGAUCAUAGCUGGGCCUGCUCGCGAGGCCCCAAUUUGAGAGUCUACCGGUUAAAAAAAUCCAGCACAAAUGGGCUAACGCUGAUAACCAGAUGAGGGCCUCAGUACCAACGUUUGAAGCAUACACGGUGUUUAUGAGCAUUUUUGACUCUGACCCAACCAUUAAUGCAUUUAAAACACACUUGCAAUAUCAUUUAAAUGUCAACAUAUAUUCUCAGGUUAAAACAAAACCCCUUCACACACUAAUAAACCUUUACACAAUUUAUCUGUCACUUAGCAUUACAACAGAAAAAUCAUAAUUCAAAUUCAAACUUAGCAUUACAUCUAUCGAAAUAAGUGCUUGCUUUUAAUUUAAAACACAAAACAAUGGCCUGGACAGUCACUUUCAGGGAUUACUUUAUGCAUUUCUGGGCAAUUCUAUUAAACUAGCUACUUCAUGCUAAUGUGACAAGAAUGCAACUAUCCAUACUCAUGGAAAAUAACUCAAUACCAACUAAAGUUAACAAGUGUAAAUAAGAGUCCUAAAUACAGAUCUUAAAGUGAAUUUCAAAUGUUCAUGGCAUAUCAUUAUUUAACGUACCAAAACAAACAACAUAAAUGGACAAAUCGAGUAAAAAACAGAACUGAGGGAAAACAUCUAUCAAGCACGGAACUCUUCAUUUCUUCAAAACACAUGAACCCUUCUUACAUGUCUAGAAUCAGGAAUGUGUACCUGGAAAUCAAGAAGGAAACAAGGGGAAUAAGGAGUCAAUAACAGCAACAGUAGGUCAGCCCAGAAUCAGCAAGGAAGAGAUAACAAACAGUAAUCAAACCCAAUUUUGAAUCCCAGAUUUAGCUUAGAACACAAUUCCAGAACCAGACUCGGUUCAACCAACUUUAGAUAUCAAAUUAAACCUUCCCUAGCCUCAUGUGAAUCAAAAAUGACUUCAGAAAAAUGAACCUCGAGCAUCAGAAUAGAAAUCAAUGGAACAGUCAAUUUCUAUGACAUUUCAGCUGUUUUUUGUUUUUUGUAUUCUCUAUAUCUUCUAAUCCCUUAUGAAACAGUAGAUUUUUUUUGCAGUUUUUCUAUAUUUUCUGGAUUUCAGCUCUCAGAAAUCUCUGCCUUCAAAGGCAAGAAAAGCUGCCUUUAUAGUCAAGGCACUAGGGCAGCUAAAGGAGGAUCAGAUUUGCA
RNAcentral lists this long non-coding RNA (1172 nucleotides) under Nicotiana tabacum (common tobacco). RNAcentral's name for it is "long non-coding RNA (NTAB_LNC002392)". The record is from RNAcentral. Lineage: Eukaryota; Viridiplantae; Streptophyta; Magnoliopsida; Solanales; Solanaceae.